This 392-nucleotide ribosomal RNA is filed under the name uncultured bacterium. RNAcentral describes it as "bacterial SSU rRNA". It matches the Rfam family "Bacterial small subunit ribosomal RNA", at positions 29 to 416 of the family's 1533-position model. The record is from RNAcentral.
AUUGAACGCUGGUGGCAUGCCUAACACAUGCAAGUCGAACGGCAGCACAGCAGUAGCAAUACUGUGGGUGGCGAGUGGCGGACGGGUGAGGAAUACGUCGGAAUCUGCCCAGUCGUGGGGGAUAACUAGCCGAAAGGUUAGCUAAUACCGCAUACGACCGAGAGGUGAAAGCGGGGGGACCGCAAGGCCUCGCGCGAUUGGAUGAGCCGACGUCGGAUUAGCUAGUUGGCGGGGUAAAGGCCACCAAGGCGACGAUCCGUAGCUGGUCUGAGAGGAUGAUCAGCCACACUGGAACUGAGACACGGUCCAGACUCCUACGGGAGGCAGCAGUGGGGAAUAUUGGACAAUGGGCGCAAGCCUGAUCCAGCAAUGCCGCGUGUGUGAAGAAGGCC